This 324-nucleotide small nuclear RNA is filed under the name Peromyscus maniculatus bairdii (prairie deer mouse). RNAcentral describes it as "7SK RNA (ENSPEMG00000003566.2)". It matches the Rfam family "7SK RNA". From Rfam's summary of the family: 7SK was discovered as an abundant small nuclear RNA in the mid-70s but a possible function has only recently been suggested. Two independent studies have found that 7SK RNA binds the CDK9/cyclin T complex (known as elongation factor P-TEFb). The record is from RNAcentral. Lineage: Eukaryota; Metazoa; Chordata; Mammalia; Rodentia; Cricetidae.
AGAUGUGUGGGCGAUCUGACUGAGACAUCUGUCACCCCAUUGAUCACCAGAGUUGAUUUGGCUGAUGUGGCUAACUAGGCAGAUGUUCCCUUCCUCCCUCACUGCUCCAUUGCAUCCCUCCUGAAGCUGUCUGCUCCAUCAAAGAGGGUGAACUUCCUCCAAACACAGAGGAGCAGUCUUCGAGAAGGGUGGAGUAGCUGUUCUCCCCUUCCAGACUCUCCAAACAAGCUCUCCAGAAAACAACCAAGUGGUAAAGAAUGUUCGGAACAGUUUGGGUUUUUACAGUUAUGGACAAAAUAAGGAGAGGUGUUCAGCUCUGAAUUU